GAAUAUAGUAAGUCAGGGAGGCAGAAGUUUCCUGGUUUCCCAUAAUGUCCUUCUGGGGGCAGCAGUGAAGAUCCACUGUCCCUUUCUUGUGUGGGUAGCUCCUGCUGAGUCAGUUUGUCAGCAUGACAUCGCUGAAAAUUCCACAGCCUUGUGUGUUUAUACCCUCUCCAGAUACCAAUGGACUGCUUGUUCACUUCUGGGAAAUCUUAAGAAAACACAGAAGCAUUGUUGAACUCAAAAGCGGAAGUCAAGGAUUUGAAAUGUGAUGGUACAUCCUGCUCUCUCGGCCCCAGUAGAGGCAGCAGGAUUUGAAGAAACGUCUCCUGUACUCUUUGAAACUUCAUGUUUCCUUACAUCUUAUUUUAAAAAUCUAUCUGCCAUUCAAGAUUAUGUUUCCAAGAUUGUUUUCCAGCCUUUUUAUUAAGGCUGCCAUAAAACAAGAAUGUCUGCCUUUCCAGUAA
Long non-coding RNA from Grammomys surdaster, 461 nucleotides. RefSeq lists it as uncharacterized. The record is from RefSeq and is a predicted model, not a curated record. The transcript is spliced from 2 exons. NCBI's taxonomy places the organism in Eukaryota, Metazoa, Chordata, Mammalia, Rodentia, Muridae.